UUUUCAGAGAUGGUUUGGUGCCUUCGGGAACUCUGAGACAGGGGCUGCAUGGCUGUCGUCAGCUCGUGUUGUGAAAUGUUGGGUUAAGUCCCGCAACGAGCGCAACCCUUAUCCUUUGUUGCCAGCGGUUCGGCCGGGAACUCAAAGGAGACUGCCAGUGAUAAACUGGAGGAAGGUGGGGAUGACGUCAAGUCAUCAUGGCCCUUACGAGUAGGGCUACACACGUGCUACAAUGGCGCAUACAAAGAGAAGCGACCUCGCGAGAGCAAGCGGACCUCAUAAAGUGCGUCGUAGUCCGGAUUGGAGUCUGCAACUCGACUCCAUGAAGUCGGAAUCGCUAGUAAUCGUAGAUCAGAAUGCUACGGUGAAUACGUUCCCGGGUCUUGUACACACCG
Molecule: ribosomal RNA, 395 nt
Filed under: Enterobacter sp. NG1
Lineage: Bacteria; Pseudomonadati; Pseudomonadota; Gammaproteobacteria; Enterobacterales; Enterobacteriaceae
Description: bacterial SSU rRNA
Rfam family: Bacterial small subunit ribosomal RNA
Source: RNAcentral